AGUUUAUUGCCCCAAUAAAUGCGGGCGGAUGGAGGUGCUGUGGAUCGAGUGCAUCUUCUGCAACCUCACGCGCUUCGCCUGCAACCGCGGCGUGGACUGCGGCGAGCGGCAGCUGUGGGUGGAGGAGGGGCAGGACCUGGUGCUGGACUGUGCCCUGCCCUGGCAC
Molecule: long non-coding RNA, 166 nt
Organism: Camarhynchus parvulus
Lineage: Eukaryota; Metazoa; Chordata; Aves; Passeriformes; Thraupidae
Exons: 3
Source: RefSeq, a predicted model, not a curated record